UAUUGAUUGGUGCUUGCAUCAUGAUUUACAUUUGAGUGAGUGGCGAACUGGUGAGUAACACGUGGGAAACCUGCCCAGAAGCGGGGGAUAACACCUGGAAACAGAUGCUAAUACCGCAUAACAACUUGGACCGCAUGGUCCGAGUUUGAAAGAUGGCUUCGGCUAUCACUUUUGGAUGGUCCCGCGGCGUAUUAGCUAGAUGGUGGGGUAACGGCUCACCAUGGCAAUGAUACGUAGCCGACCUGAGAGGGUAAUCGGCCACAUUGGGACUGAGACACGGCCCAAACUCCUACGGGAGGCAGCAGUAGGGAAUCUUCCACAAUGGACGAAAGUCUGAUGGAGCAACGCCGCGUGAGUGAAGAAGGGUUUCGGCUCGUAAAACUCUGUUGUUAAAGAAGAACAUAUCUGAGAGUAACUGUUCAGGUAUUGACGGUAUUUAACCAGAAAGCCACGGCUAACUACGUGCCAGCAGCCGCGGUAAUACGUAGGUGGCAAGCGUUGUCCGGAUUUAUUGGGCGUAAAGCGAGCGCAGGCGGUUUUUUAAGUCUGAUGUGAAAGCCUUCGGCUCAACCGAAGAAGUGCAUCGGAAACUGGGAAACUUGAGUGCAGAAGAGGACAGUGGAACUCCAUGUGUAGCGGUGAAAUGCGUAGAUAUAUGGAAGAACACCAGUGGCGAAGGCGGCUGUCUGGUCUGUAACUGACGCUGAGGCUCGAAAGUAUGGGUAGCAAACAGGAUUAGAUACCCUGGUAGUCCAUACCGUAAACGAUGAAUGCUAAGUGUUGGAGGGUUUCCGCCCUUCAGUGCUGCAGCUAACGCAUUAAGCAUUCCGCCUGGGGAGUACGGCCGCAAGGCUGAAACUCAAAGGAAUUGACGGGGGCCCGCACAAGCGGUGGAGCAUGUGGUUUAAUUCGAAGCUACGCGAAGAACCUUACCAGGUCUUGACAUACUAUGCAAAUCUAAGAGAUUAGACGUUCCCUUCGGGGACAUGGAUACAGGUGGUGCAUGGUUGUCGUCAGCUCGUGUCGUGAGAUGUUGGGUUAAGUCCCGCAACGAGCGCAACCCUUAUUAUCAGUUGCCAGCAUUAAGUUGGGCACUCUGGUGAGACUGCCGGUGACAAACCGGAGGAAGGUGGGGAUGACGUCAAAUCAUCAUGCCCCUUAUGACCUGGGCUACACACGUGCUACAAUGGAUGGUACAACGAGUUGCGAACUCGCGAGAGUAAGCUAAUCUCUUAAAGCCAUUCUCAGUUCGGAUUGUAGGCUGCAACUCGCCUACAUGAAGUCGGAAUCGCUAGUAAUCGCGGAUCAGCAUGCCGCGGUGAAUACGUUCCCGGGCCUUGUACACACCGCCCGUCACACCAUGAGAGUUUGUAACACCC
This 1379-nucleotide ribosomal RNA is filed under the name Lactiplantibacillus plantarum. RNAcentral describes it as "bacterial SSU rRNA". It matches the Rfam family "Bacterial small subunit ribosomal RNA", at positions 68 to 1422 of the family's 1533-position model. Lineage: Bacteria; Bacillati; Bacillota; Bacilli; Lactobacillales; Lactobacillaceae. The record is from RNAcentral.